This is an RNA transcript of Sesamum indicum (sesame), 1053 nucleotides long. RefSeq lists it as uncharacterized. The record is from RefSeq and is a predicted model, not a curated record. NCBI's taxonomy places the organism in Eukaryota, Viridiplantae, Streptophyta, Magnoliopsida, Lamiales, Pedaliaceae.
GGGGUGGUUCAUAUCCUUUUGCUCUCAAAAGUCUAACCCCAUUCCUAAAACCCCAAAUAAAAAAUCAAAUUGAGGAGGCAGCAUUCAACGCAAUUUGAUUGUUUAUGGGCAAAUCUAUUCCUUCUGCUCACAAUCUCCAGCACUUUGCUCGGGUCAUUGCUUCCGCCACCACCAGGCCCCGCCGAGCCGCCCAAUUGAGACCCGUAUCCAAGACCCGACCCAUCUCUUCUCCUGACGCUACUGGGUCCAGACCCGACUCGCACCAGCUAAGGCUAAAAGCUCCGGCUCGGCAAAUGGAGGACGCGGAGAACUCGGAGCGGCGGAGGAUGCCGCUUUCGGAGGUGGUGGCGGACUGUGUGAAGCGGUGGUUCCAGGAUACACUGAAAGAAGCCAAGAAUGGUGAUAUUGCUAUGCAGGUGCUUGUGGGCCAGAUGUAUUAUAGCGGAUAUGGGGUUGCUAGAGAUGCCCAGAAGGGAAGAGCAUGGAUCAACAGGGCCUCGAAGAGUCGGUCUUCAGUAUGGAAAGUAGGCGAUAAACAUCCAGGUUAUAAUGCUAGUGAUUCAGAUUCUGAUGAUGUGAAGAAAGACGCCAAAUAGGAUAAGAUGUGGUUUAACUGGUAACGUAAACCAAUGGCAAAGUUACCUGUAGAUACCCUUCCUUGGAACGGAUGGUCUUGUGUAUAUCCCCCGGGAGGAGCAUCAUCACCUCAAAUUUACAACAAUUAGGUUUCUGUGCACCCACUGACUCACGCAUAACAGAUCACAGGAAUGAACAGCUUUUAUGAAUAUUCAUGUGUAUUUGAGUGCUACCCCAGUGUGUAUGUGGCUAUCAGGCUUCUGCAACAGGUGAUGCAGGCUGCGGGAUACAAAUUGCACCAUUUUCCUUUACAAUAAGUCAUUUUCUGAAUUUUCUCUCCCAGGCACUUCACUUCCGAAGUGUUCUUGUUUGUCUUUGUUGAUUUAUGUUGAAGAGUUGUUUAUAUACACAGUUCUUUGGGCGUAUGUUUCUGAAUACCAAAAAGGGGGUGGAAAGAGAAGGGAAAUGUUCCUUUUU